Dermacentor silvarum is the source of this 309-nucleotide long non-coding RNA. RefSeq lists it as uncharacterized. The transcript has 4 exons. NCBI's taxonomy places the organism in Eukaryota, Metazoa, Arthropoda, Arachnida, Ixodida, Ixodidae. The record is from RefSeq and is a predicted model, not a curated record.
CUUGUUACAAAGGUGGAAGAAAAGCGCCUUAGACGUGGGAGGCUUCUACUAUCCUCCGGAAAACCGAAUCGAAAUACCUUGGGCAAUGUUCCGUCCUCCGUUUUUCCAGCGAGGAGUUCCUCGUUCCCUAAACUUUGGUGCCAUCGGCGGGCUUAUUGCUCACGAAAUGCUCCAUGCCUUCGACGCAAGCGCUAUGCUAACCAACAAGUAUGGAUCAAACAUAAAUCUGGAUUCUAACGAUACAGUGGCGUUUAAAAACAAAACGAAGUGUUUUUUCCGCCAAUACAAAAACGCCAGCGAGGCGCUCUG